Molecule: ribosomal RNA, 352 nt
Filed under: Bacillus pumilus
Lineage: Bacteria; Bacillati; Bacillota; Bacilli; Caryophanales; Bacillaceae
Description: bacterial SSU rRNA
Rfam family: Bacterial small subunit ribosomal RNA
Source: RNAcentral
UUUUCGGAGAGUUUGAUCCUGGCUCAGGACGAACGCUGGCGGCGUGCCUAAUACAUGCAAGUCGAGCGAACAGAAGGGAGCUUGCUCCCGGAUGUUAGCGGCGGACGGGUGAGUAACACGUGGGUAACCUGCCUGUAAGACUGGGAUAACUCCGGGAAACCGGAGCUAAUACCGGAUAGUUCCUUGAACCGCAUGGUUCAAGGAUGAAAGACGGUUUCGGCUGUCACUUACAGAUGGACCCGCGGCGCAUUAGCUAGUUGGUGGGGUAAUGGCUCACCAAGGCGACGAUGCGUAGCCGACCUGAGAGGGUGAUCGGCCACACUGGGACUGAGACACGGCCCAGACUCCUACG